Molecule: non-coding RNA, 337 nt
Rfam family: transfer-messenger RNA
About the family: Bacterial tmRNA, also known as 10Sa RNA or SsrA, is named for its dual tRNA and mRNA-like properties.
Source: Rfam
GGGGAUGUACCGGUUUCGACAGGGGUUUUGAAAUUGGAGAAGCAAGUCGUAGGCAUGCGUUAAAUCCACAAUAAAUAUAAACGCUAACGAUAAUUUAGCAUACGCUGCCUAAUGGCAGCUGUCUGACUUAGAGCACCUAUACUUUAAGACCCAGGCAUCGACUAUGUAGGAAACGACUCAUACAAAGCUUUGAGUAUGUGGGCGUAACAUGAAGCUACUGAAAUCAGAAUCGUGUUGAUUCGAGUCUGACGUAGGGAAUGUUAAAAGAUCAACUAAACUUGUAGAAGUACAAUGGAAGGGCUUUUGGACACGGGUUCAACUCCCGUCAUCUCCACUA